GAAAUGCGAUAAGUAGUGUGAAUUGCAGAAUUCAGUGAAUCAUCGAAUCUUUGAACGCACAUUGCACCCCUUGGUAUUCCAUGGGGCAUGCCUGUUCGAGCGUCAUUUGUACCCUCAAGCUCUGCUUGGUGUUGGGUGUUUGUCCCCGUCUCCGCGCGUGGACUCGCCCCAAAGUGAUUGGCAGCCGGCGUACUGGUCCCGGAGCGCAGCACAUGUCGCGCAAACGAGUGCCUUGGUACGGCGGCGUCCAUAAGCCCCUCUCUCACGCUCUUGACCUCGGAUCAGGUAGGGAUACCCGCUGAACUUAAGC
RNAcentral lists this unclassified non-coding RNA (310 nucleotides) under plant metagenome. RNAcentral describes it as "partial contains 5.8S ribosomal RNA, internal transcribed spacer 2, and large subunit ribosomal RNA". The stretch from base 1 to 105 matches the Rfam family "5.8S ribosomal RNA", at positions 50 to 154 of the family's 154-position model. The record is from RNAcentral.